AACGUAUGGUUCCUCUCUUUUCUCUCUCAUGAAACAAGCAUAAAAUGUCAUCUUUUCCGGUGAGACAAUCCAGUGAGACUCCACUAAAGCAAUGGAAAACUCGGGUGAAAAGUUAUUUCCUCUCCCUUCUGCAUUGUCCGUUUCUCCUUUCUCAUGUCCCCUUUCCCCUUUCCCUUUUUCACUUACUCCAUUUUGAUUUACCCUUUAGCAUUUUCAAUGUACCCAUUUCCAUUUUACCCUUUGGUCAUUGAUUUAUUUUUCAUGUUGUUGAAUGUGCGUCAUUCUUGUAAAACGAAGUAUGUUGUUGAUUUGAAUGGAAGAUUGAUCUCGCACCAGAGGAAGUUAAUUACAAAGACACCAUUAAAUUGGUUUUUACAAUUGUCCGACAAUGUUAAGGUAGAUAGAAAUCUAUUGAAUGAGUUAUUAGUUAGAUAGGUAGACUCUAGUGGUGGGUUUUUUUUUUUUCUGGAGAAAAAUUUGUAGAAUUCAAGGAAAUGGAUGUGUGCUUAAUAAGUAUAAUUGUAUUAUUU
This 530-nucleotide long non-coding RNA is filed under the name Vigna radiata. RNAcentral's name for it is "long non-coding RNA (VRAD_LNC003057)". Lineage: Eukaryota; Viridiplantae; Streptophyta; Magnoliopsida; Fabales; Fabaceae. The record is from RNAcentral.